This 450-nucleotide ribosomal RNA is filed under the name uncultured bacterium. RNAcentral's name for it is "bacterial SSU rRNA". It matches the Rfam family "Bacterial small subunit ribosomal RNA", at positions 29 to 524 of the family's 1533-position model. The record is from RNAcentral.
AGCGAACGCUGGCGGCAGGCUUAACACAUGCAAGUCGAGCGCCCGUAGCAAUACGGGAGCGGCAGACGGGAGAGUAACACGUGGGAACAUACCUUUUGGUUCGGAACAACCCAGGGAAACUUGGGCUAAUACCGGAUAAGCCCUUACGGGGAAAGAUUUAUCGCCGAAAGAUUGGCCCGCGUCUGAUUAGCUAGUUGGUGAGGUAACGGCUCACCAAGGCUACGAUCAGUAGCUGGUCNGAGAGGAUGAUCAGCCUCACUGGGACUGAGACACGGCCCAGACUCCUACGGGAGGCAGCAGUGGGGAAUAUUGGACAAUGGGCGCAAGCCUGAUCCAGCCAUGCCGCGUGAGUGAUGAAGGCCUUAGGGUUGUAAAGCUCUUUAGCGGGGAAGAUAAUGACGGUACCCGCAGAAAAGCCCCGGCUAACUUCGUGCCAGCAGCCGCCGUAAG